GACGAACGCUGGCGGCGUGCUUAACACAUGCAAGUCGAACGGAAAGGCCCUGCUUUUGUGGGGUGCUCGAGUGGCGAACGGGUGAGUAACACGUGAGUAACCUGCCCUUGACUUUGGGAUAACUUCAGGAAACUGGGGCUAAUACCGGAUAGGAGCUCCUGCUGCAUGGUGGGGGUUGGAAAGUUUCGGCGGUUGGGGAUGGACUCGCGGCUUAUCAGCUGGUUGGGUGGGUAGUGGCUUACCAAGGCUUUGACGGGUAGCCGGGCUGAGAGGGUGACCGGCCACAUUGGGACUGAGAUACGGCCCAGACUCCUACGGGAGGCAGCAGUGGGGAAUAUUGCACAAUGGGCGGAAGCCUGAUGCAGCAACGCCGCGUGCGGGAUGACGGCCUUCGGGUUGUAAACCGCUUUCGCCUGUGACGAAGCGUGAGUGACGGUAAUGGGUAAAGAAGCACCGGCUAACUACGUG
RNAcentral lists this ribosomal RNA (468 nucleotides) under uncultured bacterium. RNAcentral describes it as "partial 16S ribosomal RNA". It matches the Rfam family "Bacterial small subunit ribosomal RNA", at positions 28 to 507 of the family's 1533-position model. The record is from RNAcentral.